ACGAACGUUGGCGGCGUGGAUUAGGCAUGCAAGUCGAACGAGCCUGUCGGGGGCAACCCUGGCAGGAAAGUGGCGAAAGGGGCAGUAAGGCGUGGGUAACCUACCCCGGGGCUCGGAAUAGCCUUCCUAACGGAAGGGUAAUACCGAAUGCCCUGAUCUGGGGGCCUCCCUGGAUCAGGAAAGCUCCGGCACCCCGGGAGGGGCUCACGUGGUAUUAGCUGGUUGGUGAGGUAACGGCUCACCAAGGCCGAGAUGCCUAGCAGGUGUGAGAGCACGACCUGCGCCACUGGCACUGGGACACUGGCCAGACUCCUACGGGAGGCUGCAGUCGAGGAUCUUCGGCAAUGGGCGCAAGCCUGACCGAGCGACGCCGCGUGUGCGAUGAAGGCCUUCGGGUUGUAAAGCACUGUCGUGAGGGGGGAAGUACCGACCCCCC
This 436-nucleotide ribosomal RNA is filed under the name uncultured bacterium. Its description in RNAcentral is "bacterial SSU rRNA". It matches the Rfam family "Bacterial small subunit ribosomal RNA", at positions 29 to 462 of the family's 1533-position model. The record is from RNAcentral.